UACGGAGGGUGCAAGCGUUACUCGGAAUCACUGGGCGUAAAGCGCGCGCAGGCGGGCUGAUAAGCUGGAUGUGAAAUCCUACGGCUCAACCGUAGAACUGCAUCCAGAACUGUCAGUCUAGAGUCUGGGAGGGGAAGAUGGAAUUAGUAGUGUAGGGGUAAAAUCCGUAGAGAUUACUAGGAAUACCAAAAGCGAAGGCGAUCUUCUGGAACAGUACUGACGCUGAGGCGCGAAAGCGUGGGGAGCAAACAGGAUUAGAUACCCUGGUAGUCCACGCCCUAAACGAUGAAUGUUAGUCGUUGGUGUCCUAGUGACAUCAGUGAUGCAGCUAACGCAUUAAACAUUCCGCCUGGGGAGUACGGUCGCAAGAUUAAAACUCAAAGGAAUAGACGGGGACCCGCACAAGUGGUGGAGCAUGUGGUUUAAUUCGAAGAUACGCGAAGAACCUUACCUGGCCUUGACAUUGAUGGAACCCGGUAGAGAUACUGGGGUGCCCUUUUAGGGAGCCUGAAAACAGGUGCUGCACGGCUGUCGUCAGCUCGUGUCGUGAGAUGUUGGGUUAAGUCCCGCAACGAGCGCAACCCUCGUCACUAGUUACUAACGGUUCGGCCGAAGGACUCUAGUGAGACUGCCUUCGCAAGGAGGAGGAAGGUGAGGACGACGUCAAGUCAUCAUGGCCCUUACGGCCAGGGCAACACACGUGCUACAAUGGGGUGUACAAUGAGACGCGAUACCGCGAGGUGGAGCAAAUCUAUAAAGCAUCUCUCAGUUCGGAUUGUAGUCUGCAACUCGACUACAUGAAGCUGGAAUCACUAGUAAUCGUAGAUCAGCUAUGCUACGGUGAAUACGUUCCCGGGUC
This 859-nucleotide ribosomal RNA is filed under the name uncultured bacterium. RNAcentral describes it as "bacterial SSU rRNA". It matches the Rfam family "Bacterial small subunit ribosomal RNA", at positions 524 to 1380 of the family's 1533-position model. The record is from RNAcentral.